CAACCCUACGGGAGCAGCAGUGGGGAAUAUUGCACAAUGGGGGAAACCCUGAUGCAGCGACGCCGCGUGAGUGAAGAAGUAUCUCGGUAUGUAAAGCUCUAUCAGCAGGAAAGAUAAUGACGGUACCUGACUAAGAAGCCCCGGCUAACUACGUGCCAGCAGCCGCGGUAAUACGUAGGGGGCAAGCGUUAUCCGGAUUUACUGGGUGUAAAGGGAGCGUAGACGGCGGAACAAGUCAGAAGUGAAAACCCGGGGCUCAACCCUGGGAGUGCUUUUGAAACUGUUUGGCUGGAGUGCAGGGGAGG
Molecule: ribosomal RNA, 305 nt
Filed under: uncultured bacterium
Lineage: Bacteria
Description: bacterial SSU rRNA
Rfam family: Bacterial small subunit ribosomal RNA
Source: RNAcentral